Molecule: ribosomal RNA, 580 nt
Filed under: uncultured bacterium
Lineage: Bacteria
Description: bacterial SSU rRNA
Rfam family: Bacterial small subunit ribosomal RNA
Source: RNAcentral
AUGCAGUCGCACGGACCUUUCGGGGUGAGUGGCGGACGGGUGAGUAUCGCGUAGGGAUCUAUCCAUGGGUGGGGGAUAACAUCGGGAAACUGGUGCUAAUACCGCAUGAUACCUGAGGGUCAAAGGCGCAAGUCGCCUGUGGAGGAGCCUGCGUUCGAUUAGCUUGUUGGUGGGGUAAAGGCCUACCAAGGCGAUGAUCGAUAGCUGGUCUGAGAGGAUGAUCAGCCACACUGGGACUGAGACACGGCCCAGACUCCUACGGGAGGCAGCAGUGGGGAAUAUUGGACAAUGGGCGAAAGCCUGAUCCAGCAAUGCCGCGUGUGUGAAGAAGGUCUUCGGAUUGUAAAGCACUUUCGACGGGGACGAUGAUGACGGUACCCGUAGAAGAAGCCCCGGCUAACUUCGUGCCAGCAGCCGCGGUAAUACGAAGGGGGCUAGCGUUGCUCGGAAUGACUGGGCGUAAAGGGCGCGUAGGCGGUUUACACAGUCAGAUGUGAAAUUCCAGGGCUUAACCUUGGGGCUGCAUUUGAUACGUGUAGACUAGAGUGUGAGAGAGGGUUGUGGAAUUCCCAGUGUAGAG